UCCUGCUUUCUGCUAAAGGACCUAAAAUUAUAUUGGAAAUAUCAUCAAAGGAUAAAUCAUACUGGAUCUUCUUUUGGUUACAUUUAUAGGGUAGGAGCUGCCACUCAGUGACCAUGUCAAGGGCACGUUGGCUCUCAGCCCCAGCCACUCUCCCAUGGCCAGCACACAAGGCCACCACAGCCUGGUCCUGACGUGAUACCCAAGACCGGUGGGUACGAGGGGCAUCUGCUUCACUGCUUCUCAAUAUUGGACCAGUUUCUUAAAACUAUUUUCCAGGAAUAGACAAACCCUACCUGCAAACCAAGAAGACAGAUUUUGGCCUAUGUUUAGCAAUAUUCUCUUGCCAUGAUGGAGAGUAUCCUCUCAUGAACAACGAUUAUAAAUCUGUCAAUCACCCUAUGUAACUUCUCAAAUGAAGCAGCUAAAGCCAUAGCUGCCCAAUAAAAAUCUUUAAACUCUUUAGCCACAGUAGUAAUGGAUAACAGAAUACCCCUAGACUAAGUAUUGGUGGAACAGGAAAGAGUUUCUAUGGUAGCUAACAUAUCAUGUUGUGUUUACAUCAAUACAUCUUCUGAAGUUGAAACACACAUGAAAUAAGAAGACAACAAGCUAAUUAAUCACAACAAAUUCCCAGGGAAGAACCAGGUGCCAACUAGUUCUCAGAUAUAUUUUUCUGAAUCCCACAUAGAAUUCAAUGUAUGCCCCCAAGCCAUAUGAAAAUUAAGACUUUACCUAUUACUAAUGCUCAUUUUUG
RNAcentral lists this long non-coding RNA (754 nucleotides) under Homo sapiens (human). Its description in RNAcentral is "non-protein coding LINC02431:13". Lineage: Eukaryota; Metazoa; Chordata; Mammalia; Primates; Hominidae. The record is from RNAcentral.